UCGCGUGCUCUGGGGUCGGUGAAAAUCCGAGCCGGCGGUGACUGGUCGAUGUCGACCAGAAGUCCGCGACCCGGUCACCGCCAGUGACCGGUUGACCAGGUGAAGCUCCUGGACCGACGGUCAAAGUCCGGAUGGGAAGUGCACGCAC
RNAcentral lists this non-coding RNA (148 nucleotides) under Nocardioides dokdonensis. Its description in RNAcentral is "FMN sequence". It matches the Rfam family "FMN riboswitch aptamer (RFN element)". From Rfam's summary of the family: The RFN element is a highly conserved domain that is found frequently in the 5'-untranslated regions of prokaryotic mRNAs that encode for flavin mononucleotide (FMN) biosynthesis and transport proteins. This element is a metabolite-dependent riboswitch that directly binds FMN in the absence of proteins. The record is from RNAcentral. RNAcentral also lists the same sequence under 1 other name. Lineage: Bacteria; Bacillati; Actinomycetota; Actinomycetes; Propionibacteriales; Nocardioidaceae.